This is a long non-coding RNA of Rosa chinensis, 1247 nucleotides long. RefSeq lists it as uncharacterized. The record is from RefSeq and is a predicted model, not a curated record. The transcript is spliced from 2 exons. Lineage: Eukaryota; Viridiplantae; Streptophyta; Magnoliopsida; Rosales; Rosaceae.
CUCUCAAACCCUCACGGCGUUCUCCUCUUCUGAAGCUCCGUCUCUGUCCUCUCUGAAUCCGUCAAAGAUAAGCUCUCAUCUCUGUGAGUAAGAUUAGAUUCAUCUUUCUUUCUCCCUAUAUCAUUCUUGUAUAGCUUGAUUAAUCAACGUCUUUUUAUCAUCUGCUAAAUCUAAAUGUGAGAUGUAGUAGUUUAUAUAAUUGGGGUAAUUUCAAUUAAACGCAUUCUAAUGGAAUGCCCGAUUCGAUUUGAACUCAACCUGUAUUUUGAUUUUAUUGUGAGUCCAGGACAAAGGGUUGUCAAUCCCAGGUCAAUUCAAGCUUUUAAAGUCGCUGCACUACCAAUUGCUCUCUUAUUCUGGGUUCGAAAUGGGUUUUCAUUAUCUCUCGUUGUAGUCCAAAAAUUUUGGAUCUUUAGGCAUGUUUUCAUCCCUAUGGACUUUUGUUGUUUCAAUUUUGGAUUCUUCUCUCAUUCUGAGCAAUUGGUUAUCAUUAUUCAAUCUCAUCCUAGGUACCUGUAUAUAAUUUACUUAAUAAGAUGCAAUUGUUAUUAUUGGUUUGCUUUGUGAUCCUAUCCCUCUUUUAUUCAGUUAUUAGUUUUGGUUUAUUGGUGCUGAUCUCUUUGGUUUAUUCAUUUUACAAGUAUAAACAGAAUGAGCUAAUGAAGUCAAUGGGUGGGAAAAAGAAGUCUGGCAGUUCUUGGUUCAUAUUAUAUAUAUAUGGAGGUCUAAUUUCAUUUUAGUUUUUGUUAUGUGCAGUGCGUGCAAUUCUCUUAUUCUACUCUAUCAAUUUGUAUACAUCCUAUUUCUUCUUCUGUAUUUUUGUAUUUGCCAUUACUGUAAUUUAUUUUUGGCUUUUUUGUUUUUUGUUUUUUACUUCAGUGUACUUCUAUCUGACUAGAUGGCAUUGGAUAUGGAGUUAAGGACGUUGUGUACUGGAGCUAACCCAGAAUAAACAUGGAGAAUCCUGUGAUAAAGAAUACAGACUAAUUGGAAGACCUCUCGAAAGGCCUUGUGGUUGCAUUCUAGACUUAGCUCAAUCUAAUUUCUGACUUGAAUGGUGUUGGGUGGUCAAUUCAGAAGUGCAGCACUGCAGCAUCUCUCAAAUAGUUAAGAGUUCUGCAAAGAUGGUUUCUUUUAUUGUUCUAGACUGUUAUUUUGUAUUUCACAAUUUUGAUGGGUAUUCAUCACAAAUGUUCAAGUGUAAUGGAGAUCCAAAAUUAAAAGGCAUAUAAAGGCUAUUUAUUUAA